CCGCCACAUCCUUCCUCUCCACUUCCACCACUACCUCUUCCACUGUCUCCUUCAUGCUCUCCACCUCCACUGCUACUUCUCCCACCACCACCUCUACCCUAUACAUUACCACUAACUCCACGAUACCAGCCACCACCACUACCACCUUUGUCACUAUUAUUGCCACCUUUGUGACCAUAAUCACCACCUCAAUUGUUUUCGUUUCCACCACCGUCAAAUAUCCACCUCUGCUAUCACCACCUCAACCUACAUACCCAUCAAUCCACAACUACCUCUAUAAUCGGCGAUGACGACACCAGUUCAACUAGUCAAUCUAGUCCCAAAAAACUAGAUGAUAUAUAUAUAUAUAUAUAAACUAUUUAAUAUUUAACAUUAUUAUGAAAAUAUAGAUAAAAUCGAUUUUAUAUUUUAGCAAAUUUUUGUUUCCCUCCUCCAAACCCGCCAUUUCAAUCCCUAAAAUUUCAAAAGAAAAAACCCUAACUAUGAAAACCCUCCUUUAAUCGUCAAUUUCAUUGCCUCACAAACCUUAUUGUGUCGUCGUUUAUCCCUUUUCUCUCAUUCGUCUGCCCAGAUGCUCCAUCUCCGCCCUGUUGUGCUUGCUUCGCCGACAUAAAGGUACAAUAGUUUUAGGACGUCACGUUGUUUCACACUUCCUUUUAUAAUUGUAUUAACUUUAAAAUUUAUAACCACAAAAUAAUUAACAGUUAACAUAUCGAUUCCAUUUUCCACCAUCUCAUUAUAAGCAUCAAUUUCAUCAUCUAAAUUGGUAGGGCAUUAGAGAUCCUCUGUAAGGUGUUAAAAAUUCACAUAUCGUCGACCUUUUGUUUUAAUUAUGACAUUCUUUGAAUGUUUCUAUCAUGAUUUGGUGAAUUCUGACCUGUAUAAUGUUGAUUCAGGUAUGAGAUAUUUAUUUUAAUAGCUUCGUUGAUGAAUAUUGUAUGAGAAUAUGAGAUAUUUAUUUCAAUAGAAAUCAGGUAUGAGUUUGUUUCCAUAGAUUUUGUGUUUUAAACUUUCUAGAGAUUCCACUGUACAUAUGAGUUUUUUGUGUGGUUGUGUAGACUAUUCAUGUGGUCUUCUCAAUGCAUAUUUUCAUGUCUACCAAUCUGUACACAUAAAUGCAUUCAGGGACUUAUGACAUUCAAUAAUGGGUUAAGGUUCAAACAUGCCCUUUAACUUGUAUUUACUUUGUUUCCUUCUCAUUUUAAUUUUUAUGGUAUACAUUGUUCCUUCUUAUUUUUAAGUUUUUGGUAGAUGAUUACGUUUUUUAUUUGUUGGGACUUGGUCUGAGACCAACUAUUUUACCUGGUCAAAUGGAAUGUGACGGGUAUGCCCUAGAAUUUCUCAAAGCAAUAUUUUUACUGUUGAUGUUGAUCCACAAUGUAAAGUCACAAAAUAUUGUUACGUUAUUUGAACUUUUAAACUCAUUUACAACAUAAAAGUUACAGAUAUAAGUAACCUUGUUUGCUCAUCUUUUCAGGUGUGUGAUUUGGCUCAUUCCUUACACUUGAAAAAUAUGGUUUGUAAUUUCUUGAAUGGCCUUGGUUGGAGACCAUUAUUUGCCAUUAUAGGUUUAUAUAAAAGAACUUUUGUAAAAGUAUAAUUGAUGUAUGUGUAUGUAGGGUGCCAACAGAUUUGUUUCAAACAAGAUAAAAAAGGAAAGGUAUUCGCUUCCUCCUAUAGUAUCUCUCAGUUUCUUUAUUAUUUGUUCUUUUCUAUUAUUAUUUUUUUAAAUAUCUUGUUUUAAGCAAAGUUUUCCAUUGUAUAAUACUAUUUUUUAUGGCAGUUAAAGGAUGUCAGGAAGAGGCAUUAUGGGAAAAUCAACAAAUAAAGAGCAUCUUGUUCAAAUUUUAUCUUAUAAGCUUAGUUCACAGAAACUCUCUUAGUCAAGUUGACCAACAUGUUGAAGUAGGAAAGAACACCUAUUUCACAAACAUUUAAAUAUAAUACUUUUACUUCACCUCUCAUGUUAUGUGUAGGAUGUUGACAUACAUGUUCAUUGAGAAGUAACAAACUGAUAUUGCCAUGAAGAAAGAGAAAACAAUGAAGUGAUGGUUUUCAUUUGGAUGGUAAUACAUUCUCUUUCUUUUCUUUUCAAUUACAGAUAACCUGGCAAGCUGCCUUCUAUAUAUCUAAGUGAUUGUAUUGUGUGAUUUUAGGGGCAAUGGAUUAGUGGAUUUGUUGAAGAUGAAAAUCAAUUGUUGAAGUUCAUCGAUGAGGACCGGAAACAAUUAUUUAGUUUGAUAGUUUUAUAUUGUAAGUGUUACUAGAAUAAUAUUUAGGCUUAUUAGACUUUAAAGACAUUUACGUUUCAAAUAUUGACAAUAUUGUUGUUAGAAAACCAUUUUAAGGAAUAACCACAUGGUUCAUACCGGUUUGUGUCGGUUCUUAUUGGUUUGUUUUUAGGCAUUUUUAGAUCAUGCAUAUCUUGAUGGUUGAGCGGUUCUUGGUUCAAAUAGUUGAACCAAACAGUUUGGUAUGUUUUCAAAACCAUAGUAAUUGAUAAUGGACUGAAUGUCAUUGUAUUUGAGGUCGAUAUCCAAUCACUGAAAAAGCAGGCUAGGGAUCAAACAAUGUUGUAUUUGACACUGGUAUUUAGUCACUUAAAACCAGGUUAGGUACUACAUGAUAUUCUAUCUGAAACUAAUAUUCAUUGAAAAAACAUAUUAAAGACUAAAUGAGAUAGUAUCAAAGAUUGAUAUUUAGUCUCUGAGUGAUAUCAUGGGGUCUAGAAGGAAAGACAUUGGGGACUGAACAUGAUAGUAUCAACAACUAAUAUUUAGUCUUUGAAAGAUACUAUCAGGGACCGAUAUAACGUAAAAUAGAUAUUUCAAUGAAACAUACUGGAGACUGAAUGUUAUACUAUAAAUGACUAAUAUUUAGUCCUUAAAAGAUAGCAUCAGGGACUAAUGUGAUAUCAAAUCGGGGAUUUGAAGAAAACAAAUUAGAGACUGAAUGAGAUAUUAUCAAAGACUGAUUUCCUGUCUUUGAUAAUUUGAUGUAUUUAGGACUGAUUUUCAGUCCCAAAUAUAUAAAAAAAAUCAAUUGUCUAAGACUAGGUCUCGGGGACUAGCUAGGACUACCUAAAUCAGUCCUUGAUUCUCAUCAGAGACUGAUUAUUGACCAUCAAAUAUUGAUUAUGUCAGUCUCUGAUACCCCUUUUUCUUGUAGUGAGCCUCGGUGAUUCCGGUGGUGGAGGAGCAUUAACAGCCCAUCAAACUAUCCUAAAAGCAUUCGUCGGAGCAACCCAUAUAUGUAUGGAUUCGUUAAAUAUGGAUUGAUGUCGAUUUCUGGAUUUAAUGUAUUUUUUGUCCUCGUUCUUGUUGUUGUUCCUACAUAUUGAUCAUCUUUUUCUUUUUCUAGAUCAAAAGAAAUUUGUUUUAAAUACAUCAUCACUAUUUUUAUAUGUAUAAUUUUGGUUUGAGAUGAAGAUAUGAAAUGGAUUUCAUCCAAUUGGCCCUACAUAUACAGAAAUUGAUUUAGGUUUAGGGUUCACAUCAGAAAUCGAUUCAUAUUAAGAUUAGGUUUUGGAAAUUAAAUUUCAAAGGAUGUUUGUUAAGAAGGAAAUAUGGAGAUACAGGUGUGAGUUCGCUGGAGAAGAAGAUGGAGGAUGAAUGAAGAACUAAGAAGCAUGUCCCCUCCCACUUUGCUUUUCCGAGAGAGAGAGAGAGAGAGAGAGAGAGAGAGAGAGAGAUACAGUCUCUGAUACCCCUUUUUCUUGUAGUGAGCUUCGGUGAUUCCGGUGGUGGAGGAGCAUUAACCGCCCAUCAAACUAUCCUAAAAGCAUUCGUUGGAGCAACCCAUAUAUGUAUGGAUUCGUUGAAUAUGGAUUGAUGUCGAUUUCUGGAUUUAAUGUAUUUUUUGUCCUCGUUCUUGUUGUUGUUCCUACAUAUUUAUCAUCUUUUUCUUUUUCUAGAUCAAAAGAAAUUUGUUUUAAAUACAUCAUCACUAUAUUUAUAUGUAUAAUUUUGGUUUGAGAUGAAGAUAUGAAAUGGAUUUCAUCCAAUUAGCCCUACAUAUACAGAAAUCGAUUUAGGUUUAGGGUUCACAUCAGAAAUCAAUUCAUAUUAAGAUUUGGUUUUGGAAAUUAAUUUUCAAAGGAUGCUUGUUAAGAAGGAAAUAUGGAGAUACAGGUGUGAGUUCGCUGAAGAAGAAGAUGGAGGAUGAAUGAAGAACUAAGAAGUAUGUCCCCUCCCACUUUGCUUUUCCGAGAGAGAGAGAGAGAGAGAGAGAGAGAGAGAGAGAGAGAAAGGGAGGGAGAGGUGGGGUUUGGGGAUAAUCAUUUUCGUUUCUUUAUAUUUCUAAAUUAAAAUAGUAUUUGAAAAAUUAAAAAAUAAUAUAAAAAAGAAAGUAAAAGGAUAUAACCAUCUUUUCAAGUUUUUUUGGAUCAAAACACAGAAAAACUUUGAUUUUAGACCUUUCAAAUGAAAAACCUUUUGGAUUCUAUCCAAAAAAUUUUGAAUAGCAUAGGACCAAUCUUUUAGUUUUGUUUUUACCACACUUACCCAUGGUCCAUCCCUAGGUUUUAAUUUAUAUAUUUUUAUUAUUUUUUAUAUAAAUAAAUGUAUUUAUCAUUAAAUUAAAAUAACUAAAGAAUAUGUAUAAUUUUAUAUUAUAAAAUAAAAUAAUAUAUGAAUUAUAAAUUUUUAAAUAGUAUUUUUUUUUUAUAAUUUCUAAACGCUAGCAAAUUUCUAACUUUUUUAUGUCGAUUCUCAUAACUUUUUAACAUAGAAUAUUUAUUAUCUAACUAUAAAAAUUACAUACUACUACACAAAUGAUUUUGAAAAGGCUCAAGUUGAAAAACCUCAAACAUUGAUCUUAUGUUUACAAAGAAGUUUNGAGAGAGAGAGAGAGAGAGAAAGGGAGGGAGAGGUGGGGUUUGGGGAUAAUCAUUUUCGUUUCUUUAUAUUUCUAAAUUAAAAUAGUAUUUGAAAAAUUAAAAAAUAAUAUAAAAAAGAAAGUAAAAGGAUAUAACCAUCUUUUCAAGUUUUUUUGGAUCAAAACACAGAAAAACUUUGAUUUUAGACCUUUCAAAUGAAAAACCUUUUGGAUUCUAUCCAAAAAAUUUUGAAUAGCAUAGGACCAAUCUUUUAGUUUUGUUUUUACCACACUUACCCAUGGUCCAUCCCUAGGUUUUAAUUUAUAUAUUUUUAUUAUUUUUUAUAUAAAUAAAUGUAUUUAUCAUUAAAUUAAAAUAACUAAAGAAUAUGUAUAAUUUUAUAUUAUAAAAUAAAAUAAUAUAUGAAUUAUAAAUUUUUAAAUAGUAUUUUUUUUUUAUAAUUUCUAAACGCUAGCAAAUUUCUAACUUUUUUAUGUCGAUUCUCAUAACUUUUUAACAUAGAAUAUUUAUUAUCUAACUAUAAAAAUUACAUACUACUACACAAAUGAUUUUGAAAAGGCUCAAGUUGAAAAACCUCAAACAUUGAUCUUAUGUUUACAAAGAAGUUUUUUUUUUUUUAAUUUGGAGACAUUCACAAAAAAUAAUGGUAAAUAAUAGCAGUGAAAAGGUAAAAAGAAAAUGAAAAAGAAACUUGUGAUCCAUCGGUUCAUAGGUUUUAAUUUAUAUAUUCUUAUGUUUUUAAAAAAAAUUAAUUUUUAAAAGGCCAUUGCAACCGGUGAAUGUUUUUCACCCGCUAAAAUUGUAUAAGAUUGUCCGGAAUGGAAACCAACCUCACGCGUGAGAGUCUACGUGGACAGUCAAGUCAUGCGUGAACACAUUUCCGGUGUCUGGUGGAUUGGUUGUUGAGUGGCCAUGGAGACCGAUGAAGACGACGCAUGUGAUUGGUUAAGCUAGUUUUUGAUCGUUUCUUCGCAUGUGAGUGACUAAACUUUAUGUUUUAAAUUAUUAUUUUUUUAAUUUAAUAUCAAAAUAAAUAAAUAAUGUGGAGUGCUAACCAUUUCCAAUGUUUAGUGGGUUGGUGGUAAAGUUGAUGUGGCGCUGAGCUGACAGCGCUUUUUCGAUGAAUUGGUUGUGACUACUUGUAACAUCUAUAAAUUUUACGCUAAAUUUAAAUUUUUCCAAUCACAAUUAAAACCCAAAUAGUGUUUGUUUACAAAUUGUUUUCAAAUCAUUAUUCAUCAGAGUGUCCCAAAAACAUAUCGUAAGGAUGAGGAGCGGUAUGGUCACGCCUUCGUCUUGCCACGAUCUCCUGAAGUACCUGAAACAAUAACUGGAAAACUGUAAACCCAAGGGCUUAGUAAGCUACCCCCAAAAUACCAAUACCACACUGAUAAUAUCAUAUUAGUAAUAAUCAAUCAAUCAAUAUGCAUACUGGGCCAUCGACCCGACUAGACCGCCCUACAGGGCCUACAGUCUAACUGAAUCUAUAUCGAGCCUUCGGCAUGACUGGACCGCCACGUGGGCCUACAGUCUCCCUGGACCGCUUAUAGGGUAUGUUGGUCUUCAGCACAAAGCAGGACCACCUCAACCCAACCAACAAACAAAUAAUCAUGUGCGUAUAACUAACAUAUACUGGCAUGUACAGACAUCAAACAUAUUUAUCUUACGGAUCAUCAAUCAUAGCGAUCUCUCAUAACUAGAGCACAGGCCCAACAGGCCACUAACAUACCAAUCCCUAAGGAUCAUAAAACAUAACAUACUGUCUAUCCUGAUUUCAAUCUAUCAGAUCAUAAUCGCAUACAUCAUAUCAUAACCAUAACAACUAAAGGUUCGGCCUUGGUGCCUUAGACCAUUUUGAUACAGUGAGGAUAACUCACCUCGCAGAUGUCGACUCGGUAGAUAAAUCCCAACUCUCGGAUCACUCGCCAAAGACUUCACCACCUAUUACCAUAGUACGAGCAUACUCAUAAAUCCUCAACCUCACAAGUACUCCAUAAACCAACCAAUCAACCCCAGGUCAAAGUCAAAGUCCUUAGUCAAGGUCAACAGUCCCUAUUGACCUUAACUCGCAGAGUACCGUCGGCUACUCGCCAAGUUCUUUGAAGUUCUUUCCCACUCGUCGAGUCACCGGGUGACUCGUCGAGUUCUUACGAUUUUCGAUCGAACCCUAAGGCCACCCUUCGAGUUUCCUUCUUGCAACACAUCGGCUACACACACAUUCAUAACUCGGGGAAAACUCAUCCGACUCGCCGAGUUGUCCAUACAACUCAUCGAGUCUAAGGCAAUCUUCAUCGGACUUGCCGAGUUGUUCAUCAACUCGUCGAGUUCAAUGGCCAUCUUCAUAUGACUCGCCGAGUCAAGCUUGCAACUCGUCGAGUUCCUUCAGUCCUUAAGCCAUACAGACUUAUUUAAGCCAUGUAAUGGCUCCAAAUUACAUAUCCAAGCUUCUAGGACAUGCUUUUCACGUAAAGUUGCAUGCAUGACUAAAAAGGCUCUUAAUGCCAAAUCUAAGCUCUUAAUGGGGUUUCAUGCACAAGGAGGGCCUCAACCACGACCAAAACAAAAAAUUUAUGAUUCUAGAACUUGAGAAGGGUCCAGAUCUGAAGUUACAACUUUAGAUCUAGCCCAUAGCUCACCAAUAUGACUCCUAAAAAUCCAUAAAACCCUAAAACUCAACCACAAAGAGAUUUAGAAGAAAAUGGGAGUAAAGAUUGCAACUUGAUACCUCCAAAAGAUGCUAGUUGAGGUAAGUUCUGUUUCCCACACCUUCCUUGCCUCAACUCCUUUGCUCUUCAAGCUCUUCCCUCCAAGCCAAUCUUCUUUCCAAGGUCUAAAACACACCACAAGGAGUAACCCAUGAAUUAGGGUUUCACUGAGCUCUCAAAGACUGUAAGGAGCCCAAAGGAGGCUGAGGCUUCCUAAAAUAUGGUGCAAAACCCCGAGAUUUAGGGUUUCCUCUUCCAGCUCUUACUCGUCGAGUCCCUCCCUGGACUCGGCGAUUAGGUCACUUAACACGCGAUCUCACCCCGCUACUACUCGACGAGUAGGGCAACCCACUCGUCGAGUAGGACUUAAAACCAAAGAACCUUUUAUUUAAAUCCAUACCUAAGAAUCGGGGCGUUACACUACUCCCUACAUCUUAAAUAAACAACUAUCAGUGUUUUGUUCUUUUAUGUAAAAGAAAAGUUGUGACUUUAAUAAAAGUGACAUCAAAAUAAAAAUAAAAUAUUUUAUAUCCAUAAAAGUCCUUAUAUAUCGAGAGUAUUAACGGAAAAGCUAUGAUUUAAGGAUUUUUAUGAAUGUUUUGCAAAUAAAAAAUAUUUUUUUUUAGACUAAACUGUAAAUUUAGUCUUUAUGGUUUGCAAAAAACUAUGGAUACGGUUCAAAAAGUUUCCAACAUGCACCACUGGUCCAAAAUCACAAACUUUUCGUGGUUUUGAUCCCUCUCAAACUUGAUUUUAUGUGUAUUUUGUCCAAACCCCACUUGAAAUUACUAAUAUACCUUUAAAAUAAUUUUUAUUUUCUAUUUUUAUUAAAUAUUAAAACAAAAUAAAAAUCCAUCACACCCCCGUCUCCAACCACACACAUAGGCAUCAUUAUCUCUCUAUUUCUCGACCGACAUUCCAUUAUGUUCAUCUUCUCUAAUUUCCGGCAAUGCACACACCUACGCAAUUAGAACCUCCGAGAUGAAGAAGAUGGAAACGAAGAAAGGUAAUUGCGAGAUCGACUUGGGAUAGAAGGAGCGUGAGGAAGAAUAAGAUAGUGAGUGGUAGGCUAAUCCCCAACAGCUCCAGGUUUUCCCUUAUUCUGUCUCUCUUUCUCCCUAAUCACACUGAUGUUUGUGUGAUUAGGAUGAAUCAAUUGAACAAGAUGUACAUCGGUUGUUUGUUCAUCGUUAUCAUCCAAACUAAGAGAUUUGAUUUUCGAUUUGUGAUUUUCGAUUGGUGGAUUUUUUAUUUUCGAUUUCCCUGAUAGAUUUUUGUUAAUAUAUGCUUGUUCAGGUUUUGAGUCAAGAAACAACAAAAUCAACUUCUUUGACUGAAUUUUCUCUUAAGUUGUUCGACAAAAUGCUUCUGUGAGAAGAUGAAACAUGUAUACAAAAAUUAAUUACAACUUAUUUCAUUAAAUCUACAUUUUGAGGUUCUGGUGGUGCUACAGCCAAAUUAUCAGUGGUGUUACAACCAAAUAUGGAUUUUCGGUGGGGCUUCAACCGAAUUUGGAUUUCUAAUGGUGUUACAACCAAAUCGGUGUCAAUGGUGGUGCCUCCGGUAAAUAUAUAUCUUUCUUCUGAUGAACGAUGAUUGUAACAUUCCGUUUGAAAUAAAGUAAUUAAAUAAUAAACCCGGAACACCAAGAUGUAAAUUUAUAUUUUAUAUUAUUUUAUAGUGGCCCUAAAAUCCAUAAUAUUUAGCUGGGUGCUGGUUUCAGGGAGCUAAAUGAUAUAAUUUGGACUUUCGGGGGUUAAAGUGUAAUUUUGGGAUUUAUUUUGUAAAAAAUUUCAGAAGUUAGGGGGUGUUUGGUAUCAUUUGGACUUAUAUUGAAUAGAUUCUGGAGGCUAAGGGGUUGAAUGGUAAUUUAUGGACCUUAUUUGAAAAGAAUGAGAGGAAAAGGGACUGAAAACGUUAGUAUGGCAAAAGUAUUCAUUUUGGACGGGGGUAUAUGUACCAUCACCUUAUCCAGCAAACCCUAACCCUAACAUGUUCUCUUCAGCCGCCACCUUGUGCAGCCUCCUCAGUCGUCGACGCUUAGUCGAGAUCGGCCGCCACAGCCUGUUGUCGGUGACGCCGUGAGCAAUCGAGGGAGGACUGUCAAGACCGUGGAUGGAAUGUGAGGGUCUUGAACGACCAGAGUGUUGUUGCCGCUGCACCGCUUCCAUGAAGAAGACGAAGCUACCGUCGUACGGUGCAACUACCGUUCCCAGCAACGUCGGUUGCUCCUGUUCCAUCAGCGAAGACCAAGCAGGCGCUCUCCUCUGUCGCUGCUGCUGCUGUCGUUCGCUUCAUCAUUUCUUCUCCAUCACUUCGGUGCUACACCAUAGCAACGAACCAUCGUCGCCGUAUGACUCGUUCUCAUCGCUUCGGUCAACAUCCGCCACCUCGAUGGAAGUUGUGGCGUGUAUUCCAGCUUCUGUGUCGCAAGUAUGUGUGUAUUCUGAUGUUGUUGUUCGUUAUGUGGGUGUAUCUCGUCCUGGAAAACCAAAAAAAAUCCAUUACCACCACCGUGAGGUGGUGGCUAUCACCCUCUACCACCACAUGCCGCCACAAGGGUGGUUGAGUGUGUGUGUCUUUUGGAUAUUAUGUUGUAUGUAUGUUGUUAAUUUGGCCAGAAAAAACCCAUCACCACCACCGUGAGGUGGUGGCUGCCACCUCACACUGCCAUUCUGCCACCACCUUUGGUGGCGGUGUGCUCUUGUGUAUGAUUGGAUUGCUUUUUUGGAUAUUUUUGUUGGAUAAGGUGCCUAAGUCCAUAACUAUAUUUGGUAUGUAUUUGACCCGACCCGACAUCCAUUUGGGUUGCAUGGCAUCAUGCAUUUCAAUAGACUUAAUGAGAAAAAUAACAUUUGUGGUUUAUUAAUAUAUUAUAAAUUCUAAUAUAUUAAUAGUAUUAUUUAAUUAGUAUUGAUCAAGAAUUAAUUAAGUGAUCAAAAGAUGACUAAUUAAAUAUAUGAGUUGAUUAUGUAAAUCAUCCAUAACUUGUAUAAUGGGCUAAAGGCUCCAUGAAUUAUCAAGUUGGGUUAAAACUCAUAUGAUGCUUCAUGGAUGCUCCAUGGGAGUUACAAACCCAUGAGUCAUGGAAAUGAAGAGUCAUGUCACAUUAGGGUUUACAUGGUGUAACCCUAGAUGUGACACUAUAUAAAAACAUGAUGCACACCAAAAUUGGUUACAACACACUAAGAACAAGAGAGGGCAAGCCGAUUUUUGCAAGUGUUAUACAUUCUCUCAAAGUCAUUCCAAAGUAUUUGGUGUUGUGUGAAACAUUUGAGGCAUCACACUUGGGGUGUUAGGCUCUCAAGGUUUUCAAGGAAUCAAAUCAACUACAUUUCCUAGUGUUACACAUUUCCUAGUGUUCGACACUCGUUUUUAUCAAUAUUACAAUGUUAUAUGAUUAUGUAUAUUUUCUCAGUUGUGUAAUAUUCAUCGGUUCUAAUGAAAUCUAUUAUAGAUUUAAAAUUGGAUUUUACACAUCAUGUUUUAGACUCAUUUGUACAUAUUAAGGAACUAUGUGGUUUUCUAUUCUAGGUUCCAUAGUGAUAGGAAUCAUUGUGUAUCACAAAAAAAAAAUGCUACUAAAUUAUUAUGUUAACUAAUUUGGUUGAAAUAAAAUGUAUUAGUGUGAUCUUUGGUAAUUACAAAAGGAGACAUGUAUGAUUAGUAAAUUGUUUCUAUCUACAUAUGCAAUUAUAAAAUAUUCAAAAAAAAAAAAAGCAUAAGCAGUUUCAAAAAAAAAAAAAAAAAACGAUGAUACUAUUCUUGUCUAUAUUCGUAAAUAGAUAUGAAUAAAUUAUUUUAGAUGAAUUCAUUUAUUAGAAAUAAUGGAAAUAGAUAAAUUGAAUAUGAUUAACAGGGAUGAGCAUGUAUGGAGGUCCAUAAAUGUUAGAAGUCCACACUUCGACCACAGGGGGAACUUAAUGGUACUCACAUCACAUGGCAUCUAUCAGUUUCAAUGCAUCUAAGUGUUGGGGUUGUCUUUCCUUUCUAAUUAAAAAAUAUUUUGACUUUUAAUAGUCAAAUUAGUUUAAUUUUAAUUUAAAACCCAAUAAAGUAUCUUAGUUAUAUGAAAUUAUAUUUAAUAUAGGAAUGAAUAUCUUAGAACUAGAAACUAACUCAAAAUUAAAUUUAUUUAGAAUCUUUAAACACUAGUAUUCUAUGCAAAAUGGAGGAGUAAAACAUUUAAAGUUGUUUAAUAGUUCUUGAUUUAGUCGGAUCUAAUUGAGUUAAUAUCUAAAAGAGUCAAACCCAAUUUCUUAUAAGACCUAGUAAAACCGAAUCAGACCUAACUAAUUGUAGUAUUAAACGUCUGAAUGUGAACGAAUCUGACUCAACCACUUAACAAACCUAAUAAAGGGCAUAUCAAAUAGUCCCUUUAACGAAUAUGAAUUAGAAAUGAAGGAGUCUCGUUUCCCUAUAAGUCCGAAAGUUAUGUGUCCAUAAUAAAUUUUUUAUCAAGAUUUAAGUAGACUAAAAAAUUGGUUGAUUCGUAACUCCAAAUUUGAGAUGUUAUAUCUUUGUCUCUCCGACUUCGAUGAUCAUAUGGAGAAAUAUAUCCGAGCAAACCAAAAAUGAAACAAGUUUGUAUGUAUAACAGAUUAUGAGAGAUAGUAUUUUUUUAAUUUAUACAAGACUUAUUAACGGGAUAAAAAAAUAACUCUAAGACCAAAAACCAAAGCCAAAAAUUAGAGUAAAAAAACUUUAUGUUGUCGAAGAAUUAAAAGUUCUCAUAGCUGUUAUGGGUUAUAUUGAAAAUAAAGACGUUAUAGCUUUUAAUAAACAUAUAUAAUAUCUUUUUGCUUCAUAAUUCCCUAAGUUUCCUAUUUUCUUGAACGUUAUGUUUAUGUUUCCUAUUUUCUUGAACGUUAUGUUUAGUUUUAAACUAAGAAUUACUUAUUUAUUAUAGUUGUUUAUCAGCUUCCAUAAAAUUUUAUUAGAUUAGGUAGUUACACAAUAUAUAAGUCAAAAGUUACUAAAAUAAGAGAAAUUAAAUAUCCUCCUACCAUUUGUUCCUACUAAAAUAAUUUAAUAGUAUAUGCCAAAAGGAUAAUAAAGAAUUUGGAUGAUUGCUUCCGAUGCCAGCUCAAUUAGUUUUCAAUUUAUUUAAUGUAGUUGAUCGUGUUAUGUUUUCAUAUACAGAUAUAUUAUUUUAUAAUGUUCUAUUUCAUUGGGCUAAACCAUCCGAAUGAUGUCAUACAUUUACCAAACAUAGUAGAUGUACCAUAAAUAUACUAAAAGUAGAUAAUUUCUUAAUUUAACCCUUAUCUUUUUGCCAAUUAGGACUGUAUUAUAUUGAAACAUUGACUUUUUAUAAGAAAUUUAUCACAUCAGAAGUUAAUAUUAAUUUUGAGUUAAAGAGUUAAGACUUAAGAGGGUCACAAAAUUUGUUUAUAUGUAUAGGUAAUUUGAAAAUGCAAGUAUUAGAUGAACGAUUAAAAAGAUGAGGAUUUAUGUGUUUUAAUUUUAGAAAAGACAAAUGCGAACAUAUUUCGCUUAGGACAUGCCAGAAAAUAGCCACAUUUUUUAUGUUUUAAAAUAGCAAUAAAUUUCUUAGUUUGGAUAACUGAGAAAUCGUGAUUUGUGAACCCCAUUAUAAAAUUAUUUUUGCAAAAGACGAUUUUGCUUUGAUUCGUUUUUGGUUUCAUAGUGUAGCAUUGCGAGAUGCUAAAUUCAUUAUUUGUUAUUUUAUGUUUUUGUUUUUUUGGUAUUUGAGAGGGGGCACUGCAAAAUGCCAUGUGAUUGAAGUCUGGCACACUGUAGGACAAGUGUUUUGCUAUGAUCGAUUCUAGAGAAACCGAUCGACCUAUUUUGUAUUGUGUAUAAAUACGCUAAGUUGUUCAUUUGCUUUGUAAUCUUUCUUAAUCUUUUGAAACCUUCAUACUAAAAACCUCUCCUAAUGAAAUCAUGAAUAUGCAACGUCAAUGUAAAAGCUUUUAUUUUAUUAUUAUGUACUUUUGAUUUUUUUUGUCGUAUUUUUUAUAAAUUAACUAAAUUAAUGAAAUCAUUAAUAAUAAAAACUAAAAUUAAAAGAGAAUAGUAUCUUUUCUCUAAAUGAAAAGAGAAAACCAGAAAAAAUAUACAAGAGUAACGUAACACUGAAAAAUGACACUUAAAUAGUAUGGAAAAAAAAUAAAAAAAAAAGGUGGGAAAUGAGAUGUUCCACCCCAUAGUUUUAGCGUAUAAAUCUAACACUAUGUUCUUUUCUUUUCUUUUUUUUAAAACAAAAAGAUAAAAGUGUAUAAAAAAAUCAAAAUUGGGUGCUUCCUGGCUGUCUCAAUGUCCCCAAAUCCUUAAAAGCCCUCGUACGCCACGUGUAAAAUAAAUCAUAAAUUCAAAUGUUAUAUAGAUAGCCCUUUUAGUUAUACCUUCUUUUUUCUUUAUAUCCUUUUCACUCUAUAAAAAGUAUUUCUAGUCCUUNNNNNNNNNNNNNNNNNNNNNNNNNNUAUAUAUAUAUAUAUAUAUAUAUCCAUUAAGAUUCAAAAUAAAAUAGAGAUCAUGAGAUUCAACAUCAGACACAUAAUUCACAUAUGUCGCUCUAACCUUCUGGUUUACCGACAUGCGGGUCAGUUAUAAUCAUAAAUGAUUAUGUAGCGUCGUCCGUUCAUUUCACCUCCGCCACCUUCCCCACAAGCACAACCGCCAUCGCCACCACCUCUACCACCAACCGACCCCACCAUUGCCACAUUCGUUACUUUGAUAGUUUCAUUUUGUUACUUCUUUUCCUAGUUUAUUUUAGUUCAUUCCAUUUCAUUUUAGUUAAUCAUCAUGCAUAUUUUCUCAUUAUGUUAUUUUUCAUCUUUAUCGGGUGCUUUCUAGUCUUUUGAGCUCAAUUGCAAGAUCUUUUCGAAGACUAUUCAACAUGGAGGAAUACGGGACCUUUGGAAGCUUGUGGUUUACUUGAGGGCUUAAAAUGAUGCAAUUGGGCUUAUUGUCAACAUGAUGAUGGAGCAAGUUAUGCUUAAUCUUUGUUGAAGAAUGAUGAUGAUGUGAAGAGAAUUAGAGUUAUAGACUAUCAAGGAGGCACUGGGCGAUCUUGGGAGAGUUUAGAAGACACAUUUGGGCUAUCAAGAAUCUUGCAUGUGGGUUGGACCAAGAAAUGGUGGAGCAAAUUAGAAGACUAAUCAAAUGGUCCAAAUAGCCAACUUAACAGCAUCGAAGCGGUCCACAUGGAUUUACAAACUGUCUGCGUGGAUCGUGUUGUGAAGGACCUAGAUUUUAGCCUUUUCCUAUUUUGGGAAUGUUGUUGGGAUACUUUUGAGCAAUUUUUUGAUCCAAGUUUGAACGUUUUUUGCUGGGUUUUUGAAGAAAGAAGAGGGGGGAAUUCUUGAAAAAAAAAACACUCAUUUUGCUCUCUAAGAAUACUUGAAGAUUUGUGGAUUUCUUUCAUCUUGAACAAUCUUUGGUAUCUUUAAUCUACCUUGUUUUUCUUUAAUCUUAGUCAUGCUUGGCUAGAUUUAUCUUUGGUUGAUGUUGGUUUAACCCAUGGAUGAUUAGUUACUUUGAAGACUUCUUAUGAACUUGUGUUUGAAAUUUAUGGGAAUGUUUUCUAGUUAAACAUAUGCUUGUGUUUAUUUUUCCUUGAUCACGUGCUUGGAUGAAUGAAUGUUUAUUUUGUUGGCUAAUUUCUUGGUUAAAUAAUGGACCCUUAAAUUAGUAAGCAACAAAUGGUUUAUAUGUUUGUUUUAAUUUCAUUUAAACCAUGGGAAUAUGUCCUCCAUAAUGAUAAUGUAAGCAUUUAACUAUCUUUUGGGCUUGGUGACUCUUAAAGCUUAAUGCUAGUUGUUUUUCACAAAAUUACAUGCUUCAUUGGUUUUGUGACUUUGAUUAAGGAAAUGUGUUUGGAGCUCCUCUACCAUUUUAAUAGCAAAUAAGAGUUUAUGUAAUUUGUGCUUAUGAAUUGCUAUAGUCAAGUUAAAGUAAACCACAAUUGUUGUUCCAUUUUGUGUAUUGAUAAGUUAACUAAGAAAUCCAUGUGUUGUAAUCCAAAAUCAACCAACUUCCCUUCGUUGAUUUUAAAUCAAAUCAUUUACUUGUUUAUUUGUAAUUUAUACAUUCAAGCAUAGUUUUAGUUUUUUCAAAACAAUAAAAAAGAUUUAAACCCCCUAUUUUACUUUUAUUUCUUUGUUUCAUAAGUACUUGAACAAGUGAUUUUCGUAGAGAUAUAAAUUGAGCAAAUUUUCGUGGAUAUAAUCUCUUUACCACUAUAUACUAUUUCAGUGUGUAAUAUUUAGGGUAUUUAACCANNNNNNNNNNNNNNNNNNNNNNNNNNNNNNNNNNNNNNNNNNNNNNNNNNNNNNNNNNNNNNNNNNNNNNNNNNNNNNNNNNNNNNNNNNNNNNNNNNNNNNNNNNNNNNNNNNNNNNNNNNNNNNNNNNNNNNNNNNNNNNNNNNNNNNNNNNNNNNNNNNNNNNNNNNNNNNNNNNNNNNNNNNNNNNNNNNNNNNNNNNNNNNNNNNNNNNNNNNNNNNNNNNNNNNNNNNNNNNNNNNNNNNNNNNNNAUAUAUAUAUCUUCUCUAAUAAAUGAAGGUUAUUUUUGUCACUUGUCAAUCUCUCAUGAGUUUUGACACUUGUCAUUUUGUGGUAUUUUUGAAAUAAAUAUUAUUCACUUGUCAAUUUCUGAUUUGUUUCAAUUUUUAAAAUUAAAGUCAUAUAUUUAUAUAUGUAAAGUAUUAAAUAUAAUAUAUAUGAAAUUAAAUUUCAAUGAAUACGUUUCUUCCUUUCUUAUUUUAAAGUUUUACAUUAAAAAAUAUUUACUAUUUACAUUUUAAUGUUUAAUCAUUUCUUUUAAAUUAACCCGUAUAAUAUACGAGUUUCACAUCUACUAUAUAUAUAUAUAUAUGUGUGUGUGUGUGUGUGUGUGUGUAUGUGUGUGUAUUGGAGACAUAUCAUAUUUUAUAAGAUUAUAAGACAAUUUUUUUUAGUGAAAUAUUAUAAUAUUCUAGUUUUUAUAAAAAUAUAGUAUGUGUAAUGUUCUAAUCUUUAAAUUUUUAGAAUAUUACAAUGUAAACGUUAACAAUAUUAUUUUAGAAUAUUAGAAUAUUACACAUAUUACAUUUGUAUUAAUACCAAAAUAUUAAAAUAUUUUAAUAGAAACAAAUAAUUUCAUGGUAUCACAAAUAAAACUCGUCUCACAUUAACCUUUACAUAUAUUAAAAUAUUUAAGUAAAGAAAAAAUAUUUGUUUCAUAUUCAUGUCAAGUGUUAAAAACUUAAAGUCGUGUCAUGUCAUGGUCAUGCCAAGAUUUGAUAAGAAGUUGACAUGAUAAUUAAAUGUGUUUAUCAUGUUUAUGUGUUUGUCUUGUUUGUAAGAUUAAUUUUGAAUUAAAUAAACAAAGUGUUUUUUUUUCUUUUACAUGUUUUGUGUUUUUUGCAUUGGUUGUUUUUAUCGUGUUUUAACUUAAUUGUUUUUGUGUUAGUGUAAAUAAAACAUGAUAUUAUAUAAUGUAUGUGUUAUAUAAAAAUUGUUUUGUCUUGUCAUGUCAACUAAAAACACGACAUGGGUAUCUGAUUUGACACCCUACAUAUUUUCUGAAAUUACAAAAUCAUAUUUUAUUAGUUCUAAACAAAAUACACGAUAAACAUAAAACUAAAAUACUCAUCACUAGGGAUGUUCACUAUUUGGAUAAAACUGAAUUGUCCACUUGAACAAUAUGAAUUAGACUAUUUGGUUUGGAUAUUCAGAUUUUUGGAUUGGUUUUCAACAAAAACCGAAUUAUUAUUUUGAAUUUCAGAUUGGUUUUGGUUUAUAAAAUAAGAAAAUAAUAGUCCAAAAAACCGAAUAACAAUUUAUUAUUUAUUUAUUUUUAAUAUAUAUCUAUAAUUAUUUAUUAAUUUAUUUUUUCAAAUAGAUUCAAAAAAUUUCACUUAAUAAAAAGUUUAGUAUGUAUUNNNNNNNNNNNNNNNNNNNNNNNNNNNNNNNNNNNNNNNNNNNNNNNNNNNNNNNNNNNNNNNNNNNNNNNNUAUAUAUAUAUAUAUUAGUAGUUGUUUAUAAAUUUUAAACCACAACUAAAUAAUUUGUUUUUGUUUCUUUUAUAAAGUUGACUAGUAUCUGUGACAUCCCCAUUUUCACGGCCAAAAAAGACCGAUGUUGUUUAUGCUUUAUAAAAAUCAGAGUACUUCAUUUUAUAAAAAUGUUGCGGAAUUUGUUCCCAGAAAAACAUGGUAAAUACGUUAUUAAAACAUUUUCGAAGAAACGUAUUUAUUUCAAAAUUAAUCAGAGUACUUCAUUUUACAAUUAUUUACACUAGUGAUCUACAUCUCUUUAAAUCUCUCAGUGUAAUGUCACUUCAUAUCAACACCUGUGAUAUAAAUAAACUGAGUGGGUCAGGUUGAGAAACCUGGUGAGUACAUAGGGUUUUCAACCCACAAUAAUAUAAUUAUUAUGUUUAAACAAUCAAACAAUCAAACAAUCAACCCAAUUACCCAUCCUCAUUAUCUUCUUUAUUCUUAAGGAUCUACCCUAAGAAUCAGCUAUUUCUCAUUCAUUCAUUCCUAAGGAUCAUCCUAAGGAAACAACAUGAAGUCCAUUGUUGCCAAUGACACAUUGGUCAAGCGCAGCUGCUAAUAUUGUCACUUAGGCUCAGCUGCCAGAAUUAGGACAUUUUCUAUGAGGCGCUUCUGCCGGUAUUGACCUUUAAACACUACUGUCAAACAAAUCAUGCUAGAUUCUAAUAAUAAUUUUGCUACUGAUGUUUUUUUAUAAUAAUCUAAUUACCAAUCUUCCAUCUACACAUCAACACUAUCUCAUUAAACCAAACAUAAUUUGUCACAGGUUCCUGUCUAUUUUUCAGCCCCUUCAAAUCACAACAAUGAGACUCAAAAAUAAAGAUGAACAAUCAUUAUAGAUACAAACAAGAGAGACCUUUAGAACAUUUUUUACCCCAAAUAAAAUUCUCUGAAUUAUAAGAAGUAUUCCAUUUUUUGGCAACAAAAUUAAGUCUCAUAAUAAGUGAAGAGAUGUCAUUCCCGUUUCAAAUCCAAAGAGCAUCUGAAGGUUUUACUAAGGUAAAUAAUUAGGGCAAAUUAUGGGGAACAACAACAUACUUUAUUACUUUACCUAUUUUGCAUCUAUAUGAAACUUUAAUACUUAAAACAAUCCCUGAUACUAAUUGUAUUUUUAGGGUGUGGAGAAAGAGCAAAACCAUGAGAUUUCUCAAAAACUUUCAUCUAGAUACAAACACAUUGAUAAACAAAACAGUACAAGCGACAAGUUAUGAUUGUUGAUCAAGUAUUUAAUUCUUUUAAGAUGAUUCGAUGAUUGUAACUUUAAGGUGUGGUGUGGCUUUAAACGUCACAUAGAUACAAACAAAAGAGACAGAGAGAUAUCUUUAGAACAAGAAGCAUAAGAAGCAUAGAAGGAAAUGAAGAGGCGACAAAUGGUAAGUUGGAGAACCGAAUGAAUGAUGAAGCAUCAAAAGACCGAGCAAGGGAUUGAGAGUCGGAGUACAUCAAAGAGCAGGGGGGUUGCAGUCCAUCUCUUUUCUUUUAGGGUCUAACGUGUAUUAAAACUAUUGGGAUAGGACCAGUUAUAGGCAAAAAAAAAAAAAAAAGAAACAAGGGGGCCACAACCCCUCCUGCCCCUAAGCAUCCUCUGCCCGUGAUCCAAACGAACACCCCUACUCAUCAUCGACUCAUCGUCUAGAAAUAAUAAGAAAAAGGGUUCGUUGACAUUUUUCCAAAAUAUUGUUUUUAUAAGUUUAAUGUACUCUAACUUUCGGCAUAUAUUUUAACACAUUAAGUUGGCAUGUAGUUAGAAUUUUAGAGAAUAAAAAGUAAAAUUUGAAACUUUUGAUAAAAUUUAAAGGGUGUGAAUUGAAAAUAUAAAUAUAUUAAGAAUAUUAACAUUUUAUUCAUAACUGAUGGUGGUAUCAGAGUCCGUGGAUUUAAGUUUUCUUUCUUGCAUUUAAAAUUACCCUAUAUAUAAUGUCUCCCCCUUUCAAAAUUACGUACCAUCGCUCUCUGAUUGAUUUUCUGUGUAUAAUUGAGGAGAGAGAUCCUUUGAUUUCACUCUAAAUUUUGGAUCUAGGGCCUUCAAUUAAGGUACUCCCCCUCAUAUUAUUAUUAUUAUUAUUAUUAUUAUUAUUAUUAUUAUUAUUAUUGUUCAGAGAUGAAUUUGCUAUCAAGAUUUUCGUAUAAUCGUGUCUGAAUUCAUCUAUACGUUGCUGUUUCUUAAGAUUUAGGUUCAGUUCUACGCAAUUUUGUCUUGAUUUCUCUCUAAGCUUCUGUUUAAUCAUUCAUUACUUUGUAUACACUAAUUGUUUGACAUUUUUUGCUUUUGUUUUGUGCAUUACAGCUAGCAAUUUAAGUUCAAUUUUAUUGACUUCUAAGUUCAUACCUGCUUAAAAACUUCUACACUUUUCGAAUAUUCUAUACGUGUUUUGGUUUGAUUUCUUUGUUUUGGCAUUUUAAAGUUUUCAACUCACCGUGUUGAACAAUGUCACCUCUACUUGGUUACUUUUGCUUCAUCUACAAACAAUUAUGGCAUUUGCUUUGUGAUUAAAUUUAGCUCACAUCCUUAGGUUUUAGUUUAUAUAAAUGAAGUACAAUCGAUGAGAUGCAAUAAUCUAAUCAGCUCGAUCUAUUUUGUUUUCAGGAUUUCAUCAUCGAACAGAGAUUUGAAUUACAAAUCAACAUAAAUUUUGUUUAUGUUUACUUGGAAAUUAAAGUUGUAAUGGAACAUCGUCCUCCUAUUGACGAAGAUUUUAUCGUUGAUCUCGAGAGUGGCACCAUUGAAGAACGAAUCCCUAAUCCCCAAUCUGAUGAAAAUCUAGCAAGAAACGAUUUCAUUUCCACCAGAUUAUGUGACCAAUUGAAUGUCGAUCCAUUAAAUGUGAAUGUGGUAAUCGACUCAAAGAUAGAAGGAGAUUCGACAAUGAAGAAAAUGGGGAAAGAGAAACGUAAAAAGUCGUGUUCAAGUGCUAAAAAACCACCUAAACCACCACGUCCACCUAGAGGCUUUUCUUUAGAUGCUGCUGAUCAGAAGCUUAUCAAAGAGCUUGCUGAACUUGCCAUGAUGAAAAGGGCAAGAAUCGAGAGGAUGAAAGCACUCAAGCACAAGAAAGCAUUAAAAGCUUCAUCUUCAUCAUCAAUCAGUGGUAGCUUGUUUGCCAUGAUCUUUACAAUCAUCUUCUUCCUAAUGAUAUUCCACCAAGGUAAUAAAUUACACCUUAAUGGUUAUCAUUAUCCCUCUUUCUAUCUUCAUACUUUCACCAUUAUUCAAAAAUAAAAAAUAAACACCAGGAAUAUCUUAUUGUUUUUAUAUUUGUCCAUUAAGAAAAAACCUUACAUUAUGUUUUUUCAGGAAUGUCAUGCCAAAAUUCGAGUGUAACUUCUCAGGGUUCUCCUCAAACAGCUCAAACAAACGAAAAUGGUUUAGUAUUUACACAAGAACAACUCAAUCCAUCCGCUAGUGAUUCCAUUCUACCCGAUUCUAAAUCUUCAAGGUAUGCAAACCAUUUUAUAUUUUCUUUAUGAUAUAAAUACAUGCUUGUUAUUGGAAGGAAAUUAAUUUUUUUUUUUCUUUGUAUUUUGCAGUUUUUUUCAAAAGAUUCCCGGUUCAGGUUUUGUUAGCAGGAAAGUACUUUCGUCUAGUGUUAUGCAAGACAAGAGAAAACAAAACAGUAGCUAAAUAAAAAAAAUAAAAAAAAAACAAAAAGGUAGACUCCAUGUGGCAAUGCCUGUGACAACAAUGUUGUACCAUGUGUAUAGUAACGCGUUAUUUGUUAUGCGAUAUAUGACAUGAAAGAACAGAACAGCUGGACUGAGAAUCAGUAAGCAAAAUUAUGAUUUUUGUGGCACCCAAAAAGGUGUAACAUGGACUCGUUGCGGUCUGUGUUUUGUGCAAAAAGACGUUAAUGUCCUCCUCAUCGUCAAAAAAUUGCGAAAGUUUCAGUUUCCUCCGGUCCAGUACUACAAUUUAGUCUGGUUCUGUUAAGUAUUGUUUGUGUAACAAAAUUUAGUUUAAAGGAUAGUUUUUGUACUUAUUCUAAUUGUGCUAAUAGAACAGGGUUUUUUUUUUUUUUUUUUUUUUUUUUUUUUUUUUUUUUUUUUUUUUUUUUNUUUUUUUUUAAUUAUGUAGAGAUGAGAAAUCGGCAAUUUAGCUGGAGUUGAGUUAGGUCUUUUUGUUUUGUAAUUAACAAGUUAAAUAAUAUGUAUUGUAGUCAACAAAAAUCGAGAUCUGAUAUCUAUGUAAAUCAGUUGAGUUCAAAUUUUUAAUAUCCCACUUAUAAGAUUCAGAUUUGCUUCUUAAUUAUUUGCUUAGUGAUGCAUCAAAACAUGUGUGAGUUUAUGAGUGAUUGUGAGAGAGAGAGAUAGGUUUGUUUUUCUUAAAAAGACAAUUAUACCCUUCUUUUUCUAUUCUUUUUGAAAGAGCAACACUGUGGCUCCAAGGGUGUUUUGGGGAAUUAUUAUUAGACAAAUAGUUAUAUGAUGCUAUUUGUUUUUUUUAAAAAGACAAUUAUACCCUUCUUUUCUUGUUCUUUUUGAAAGAGCAACAAACACCGGCUCGAAGGGUGUUUUGGGGAAUUAUUAUUAGACAAAUAGUUACAUGAUGCUAUUUGUUUUUCUUAAAAAGAUAAUUAUACCCUUCUUUAUUUGUUCUUUUUGAAAGGGCAACAAACACCGGCUCAAAGGGUGUAAAUAGUUAUAUGAUGCUAUAUUCAUAACUAUGAAGAAGUCUAUUUCAUGUAAAAUGACAACUACACCCUUUGUCUCUUUUCCCUUUUAGGAAAAAUAUUUUGUCUAACUUUACUUAUUUUUUUAUUAUCAUCAUUAUAAAUAAUUGAUGUUGCCAAUAUUAUUUUCAGCAAAAGGGAUUUUUUUUGCAUCCGGACAAAUUGGUACAAGGAAGUAUGUGAUUCUUAAGACAUGCAUGUGCAUAUGGAUGAGCAUUCAUAGAUAAUCGAGGAUUUUGGUAUGAUAUUUUGCAUAAAUUGGGUAUGGACUUAUUUUGGAUAGACUUUGAAAUAAUUGAGAAGUGAUGCAAAAUUACAUUUAUACCCUUCAUCCUCAACGGUCGACUAACAGACUCAUUCAUGUCGCCCAUACGUAUCUGAUUAAAGAUAUUGCAUUCAUUAGGUACUAAUUUCACAAGUAUGGUUUCUUUUGGUAAAAAUAAUUAAGUCAGUUUGUUACCUAAGACAUGGCAUGAUAUAAGGAUAAAAAUAAAUAAAUAAAUAAAUAAAAGCUUGUUCUGGGUUGUAUUGUAUUGGACUUGAACUAAAACUAGUUUAAUCGGACAAAAAUGUUAUUUUUUGUCCCAUCCAAAAAAGAUAGAACAAGGACACUGACUUGCUAUCGACCUCUCGUUUAUGUAAAAAGCAUUCAUGUGCUUCUUAUCAUCAUCAUCAAAAAUAACUCGUGUAAGUAUAUAGAGUCAUCUUCAGCUCAGUCUCAUCGGUAUAACACGAGCAAGAAGACUUAACAUUAUUAUUUUCAAAAUAAUUAAUAUACAAAGAUAGCAAAUAAAUAUUUGAUAAACUAAAUAUUGUGGUAUAAUUGACCCUCAUGGACCUUCCGAGACCUAGGCAUGGCAUGGGAUACCCCACCCCCCACACCCCCUCCGAAACAACCUGGGUGACCAGAGACCAUAUGGUGAUGUUGGGUUAUAAUUCAUUCAUAUUUGGAAUUGGAUCAAAUACAUGUGAAUCAGAUCCAUAAACUAAGCAAUAAUACCAUUUUCACUUGCUUUUCCAUUUGACCUUCUCGACCUUUCUCUUUCAUGUGCCUUCUAAUAAUAUAUAUAGGGAUAGCCUACAAGUCAAAGACUUCGUUGCAAAUAAUUCUUUUAAUUAUUAUACUUAUAGUUUCUUUAUAUGUAGAUCAUCAUAUUUCUUAAAAAUACAAAAAGAGAAGAAACAACAAAACGUAUCUUGUUGUGAUGGAUUCUUUUCUAACAAUUUUCAAUGUUAUACGAUAACUAUAUAGUGACUUGAAUUGGUGUAUUUUAGUAUUUUCUAUUAAUCGUAUGUUUAAUAAGUUCGGUGAUUAGUUUCUAAUCAAUUCCACAGUGAUAAUCUUGGUACUUCGAGAAAAAAGAAAUCCAUAUUCUUGAGUGUUUUAUAAUCAAAUUUUGUUGAUUUUUGAGUACUCUAUAAGAGCGAAUGCCUUCCGAAAUAAUAUCCUCGAGUCCUUUUUUUUUGUCUACUUGAAUCAAAAUUUGAGUGUUUUAUAAUCAAAUUUAGUUGAUUUUUGCCUACUCCAUAAGAGCGAAUGCAUUCCGAAAUAAUAUCCUUGAUUGCUUUUUUUUUUUCUACUAGAAACAAAAUUUGUGUACAAAGAGAAUUGUAAUACGAUACUCAACUACAAGAUAUAGACAAUGAUCUUUAUUUCAAGAUUGUAUCCAUAUUACAUCAUGUAUCUUGUUGGCAUUGAUUGUGAAUACAUUGGUUUUGUUAAUCACUUCUUCUCAAUGUUUUAAAAACCGGUUUUUUAGUUGAACCGGUAUAGUGACCGGUUUCCGGUUCAACCGGUUCGACCGGCGGGUUAACCGGUUUCUAUAAUUUUCAUAUUUUUUUUUCUAUUUUUCUAUACAUAAAUAUAUAAAUCAUGAGUUUGACGUUUACAUGUUCAAACAUUAAAAAUCCUUAUUCUAAUAAAAGAAUAGUUUUAUUCUUCUUUUGACAUGUGUCACCAUAUUAGGCUCAUAAUUAAUGCAUAUUUCAAAUUUCAAAUUUCAAAUUUUCCACUCUAAUUAUAUUAAAUUAAUAACAUUAGAAUGAAAAUUAAAUAAAAUUAACACAAAUUAUAAAGUGAUAUAAUUAUACAUAUUUAUUUAAAGCAAUGAUUAUAAUUUUAUAUAACUAAAAAAUCUCUUAAUGAAUAAUUUAUUUAAAAUAAGUGAUUAAUAAUUUUGAGUUUUUAAUAUUAAAGUUUAAUUAAGUUUGUAACCGUAGUUCCCACGGGUUAUAAACUCGUAUACAUAUAAAUAAGUUGUAGAUCACUCUAAAUACAUUAAAAACUUUAUAACAUUUAUCAUAUGUUUUUAUUUAGAGAAAACUAUAUAGAUUUGAAAAAAUUCACUAAAGUUUAUUAUGAAAAUUGUUCUUUUCCAUGUGUUUUUAUUUGGUUUAAGCGGUUCAACUGCUAUAUAUUUUGACCGGUUCAACCGGGUUUUUCUAAAAACCGACCGGUUCAAUCCGGUUUAGAAAUCCACAUAAAACCGAUGAUAGUUGAACCGCUCCCUUCUCCGAUUCACGGUCCAACCAGUUUUUAAAACAUUGCUUCUUCUAUUGUGUAGAUUCCCUUCUUCAUCUUCAGAGGUUCAAUCAUAUACAAUAUUCCGAACCAGGAUUCUAGUUGGGUCAUUCGGAAUGACCCUUUGUGGUUGGGCUAUCCCGGACCGAGCAGGAACUAUUCUCCAAGGAGGGUACUUGUAUGAUUGGUCAUGUACCCUAUUGUGAGUCUAACUAAUUAUUGAGUACACACAUUGAUCCCAUUAUAAAAAGUUUGCAUCACUUGAUGAGCGUGUGCGGACAAUUUUUGAGCAUCUCUUUGUAUCGAACACAAGUUUUGUAAAGUGUUUUGUCAUCUGGUAGUUGCAUGUUCUGGAUCUUCAUCUUCGCUAUUUUUAAUUAAUAGUGGACUAAAUUGUUGAAUAAAUUUAGAUUUUAAAUCAUCCCGUAUGGUAAUUGAUGUGGACGGAAAGAUUUAACCCUUUGAUUUGUAGUGUCUUUAAGUGUGAUCAGAAACACUUGUAUCAUUACCACAGAGUAUUUUGUCACUAGAAGUAGUUGGUAGUUUCGAUCACUUCGUCCACAUGCUUGUGCACGUUUUCAUGGUCUUUACCGGAAAAAUAUGUUUCUUUUAAUAAUUGGAGGAAUUGACCCUUGAGCCCAAAAUUUGUAGUCAACGAUAGUGCUGGGCGAACUAGUCCUCGUCCAAUCCCAUCUCUCGUACGGCUUGUGUAUUAGUAUUAUAACAAUGGAUUUGCAGUAUCCGUCUUCGCUUUCUUCUUGGCUGCUAUCUUCAUUUUGUUGUCUUUGUUGUUUUGUGAAAUUCUUGCUCGAGCUUGUUGAAUAGAGAUAUUACUUUAGAAGUGAAUCAUCGGGACAUAAACUAUCUGCAAAACAAACAUAAACCAUAAUAAAAAUAAAUAAAUAAAUAAAGCAUGCAGCUUGUUUUCGCCCAAAAAAACAUGUCGCGUAACAGAGUCGAACACAAUGCGUUUGCCUACAAAACAAAAAAUUAACUUUUCACCAGAAAACCCACAAAAAAUCGAAUAACGAAUGAUUAAAUAAUUUAAAGAAAUUAAGUUGUUUCUCGCCAACGCUAAAAACUUGAUGUGUGGAUUCAUCAACAACUUUUAAAGUUAUUAAUUGGUUUAUCACAACCAGGCUGUUACAUUAGGUAGUGUACAUAAUCAUGUAAUAAUAAUAUAGCUAAUAUAUAUUAGGUAUCGAACACUCAUGUAUGAUUUGUGUUUAGAAAAUCAAAACUAUUAAUUAAAUUACCAAACAAAGAAUAUAAGGGAGAUUGUUUAAAUCCAGUUAAACAUGGUUGAAACUAAAAAAAUGAUAACUAAAGUUGGAUUAAAUAAUAAUAAUAAUAAAAAGAAGAAAUUAAAACUGAAAAAUUAACUUUGAUAUUAUUCUGAUUUUAGUCAAUAGCCGAAUCGUUUAAAAAAAAUUUACUUUAUGGAAAAUAAUAUUUUUCUUAUAAAUUGAUGUUUAAGUUUUAAAUACAUAUGUUUCCUAUAAAAUUUUAAUAGAAUAAUUGAUUUUUUUUUUCGAAAAAAUAAAAUGAAAUAACGAAUUUUCAAAUAAAUAAUUAAAGUUAUAAUAGUUUUUGAAAAUGUUCCGAUAAAUAAAUAUGAAAAUUUGUUCUAGGACUUUGUAAAAUUCAAAGUUUAUACUUUGUGUAAAAAGGAAUGUUAAUUUUUACAAGGCAAAUAUGGGCUCUUACUAUAAACGGCCCAAAAGUGAUGUUACUGAAUAUUGCUUUAUCACUUAUCAGGUUAAGGAUGUAAAUUGACAACACUACCCCUUUGUUGGUACCUCAAGGCAAGAGAUGAUUCCGAUGAAAACCCUAGGCUAUAUCACGCGCGAAACACGUGAGCCCGUAAUACAGAGGCGCCGCAAGGUUAACGGUUCAUAUUAGCCGUUGGAUGAAGUUCCACGUCAUUAAUCCGCGUCAAGCAAACAUUCAACGGUCCAGAUUACGCGUUGCGUGUAGCUACUCUGAAGAACGAAGAACCCCCUCUAGUCUCCCUCUCUCUCUCUCAUCACCGUCUAUCUCCCCCAAUUCUGACAAAAAUUUUGCUGUGAAUUUUCGGCAAAGAUGAAGAUGUUGAUCGAAGAAGAGUUGGAGUUCGAAGGUGAGAACAAGGUUGAAGAAAUCGUUGUGGAUGAUACCGAAGAAAUUGAUAGUGAAGUUGAAGUUGAAGAAGACGACGGCGAGGACGACGACGAAGAUGAUGAUGACGCCGACGAAGAGGAGGAGGAAGAAGACGACGACGAUGAUGUGCAGGAGGUUUUCCAAAGCUCUGGCAGUGGUCCACCGGCUCAGCCGGUAGAAGCCGACGAUGACGACGAGGACGAGGACGAAGAGGAUGAAGACGAUGAUGGAGACGACGACGGAGAAGAUAGCGACGACGACGAUGACGAUGAGGAAGGUGAACAAGAGGAGGUAAUAUUUAUCUUCACUUUGACUAUUUUGUUUGAAUUAGUUAGCUUAUUACUUUGAGUAAAUCAUAUCUUAGUUGAUAAUUCUGUGAAAAUUUUAGCUCAGAUCUGAUGAUUAUUUGCCUGUAUCUGCAAUCUAGCGUAUAGACAAAUUACCUUUUUUAAUUUUUAUAAUUCGAGUUUAAUUAUUAUUUCUGUCAGUUGUUACUACGAGUCAAAAACCUCACUUUAUCUCUAUGUUUCUUGUGGUUUUUAUCAAUUUAUCUUCCAAAAAUUACACAGAUCCAUGUUUUUUUUUUGCCAGUGAUAGAUCUGUUCUUAUUGAUAUUAUUUUACUGACGCUCUUUAAAUAUUAUCUAAAUUUGCUUUCAUGCUUCAUUUCAAGCAAUCUUGUUUUAAAUUUGCUUUGUUUUCUGUAAUAAAAUUUCAGAUCUGAUUAUUUUCUGUCAAAACCGUUUGUGAUUUUGACUGUUUCAGUUUUUUUACUCUGACUGUAUACGUCAUGAUUGAUCUGUAAUGAUUCCGUUCAUGUAGCAAACAAUAUAAUUCCCAAUAUGUGUUUCUGUUUUGGCGUUCUGUUUCUUACAGGUUUUUGGCAUGAAACUUAUCAAAUUGUACAUGUCCACUUUUAUGUUAUCGAUAAUUAGAUAUUUGUGUAAAUUUUACAUUUUUACCAAUUUAAGAGUAGUUUAUUCAACUAACUCAAAUUAUUCAAUCUGGUUUACAGGAGGAUAUGGGGACCGAAUACUUGGUUCGACCCGUGGCUAACCCGGAAGAUGAAGAAGAUGCAAGUGAUUUUGAACCCGAAGAAAAUGGAGCGGAAGAAGAUGAAUUUGAAGAAGAAGAAGAAGAUGAUGAUGAACAAGUUGGAAAAACGGAAGCCCCACCGAAGCGAAAAAGGUCAACCAAAGAUGAUGAUGAAUCUGAUGAUGAUGAUGAUGGUGAUGACGAUGAUGAUGAUGAUAGACCAUCCAAGAGAUAGUUUGGUUUCUUGGGAUCUAUGAUGAUGAUGAUGAUGAUCAUGGAUACAUAGGUCCAUCUCUUUCUCUCUCUAUCUCUCUAGGGUUUAUGUUAAAAACUUUAUAUUAUGGUUGGUGGAUCAUCUUGUUUACUACCAUAUAUUUUCAUGUAACUUUUCAUGGUGCAGUUAUAUCUAUCAGGGUUUGCAUAGUGUCACAAUGGGGUUAUUUUUAGGAACAAAAAAACAAAAGAAAAGUUUGCUACUUUUUUUUAUGUUUAAUUUUAUGUAACUUUUAGAUGAUUUAGGACACUCUUAUGUUUUCCUUGAUGUGUAUCGUUGGAUAAUGUUUAGUGUUUUUCUCACAUUUUAGCAAUGACUUUCUUUGUUCAUCAUAUUUGUAUUAUUAUUCUCGAUCUAAUUUUGUUGC
Molecule: long non-coding RNA, 28548 nt
Filed under: Lactuca sativa (garden lettuce)
Lineage: Eukaryota; Viridiplantae; Streptophyta; Magnoliopsida; Asterales; Asteraceae
Description: long non-coding RNA (LSAT_LNC006953)
Source: RNAcentral